AGUUAAGUGACUAAGCGUACAAGGUGGAUGCCUUGGCAAUCAGAGGCGAAGAAGGACGUGCUAAUCUGCGAAAAGCUUGGAUGAGUCGAUAAGAGGCGCUUAAUCCAAGAUAUCCGAAUGGGGAAACCCAGUAGAUGAAGAAUCUACUAUCAACAAGUGAAUUCAUAGCUUGUUGAGGCAAACCGGGAGAACUGAAACAUCUAAGUACCCCGAGGAAAAGAAAUCAACCGAGAUUUCGUCAGUAGCGGCGAGCGAAAGCGAAAGAGCCAGUAAGUGAUAGCAGUAUAGUGAGGAGAAUGUGUUGGGAAGCACAAUCAAAGAGGGUGAUAAUCCCGUAUCUAAAAACCAUAUUGUGGUACUAAGCUAACGAGAAGUAGGGCGGGACACGUGAUAUCCUGUUUGAAGAAGGGGGGACCAUCCUCCAAGGCUAAAUACUCCUGAUUGACCGAUAGUGAACCAGUACUGUGAAGGAAAGGCGAAAAGAACCCCGGUGAGGGGAGUGAAAUAGAACCUGAAACCUUGUACGUACAAGCAGUGGGAGC
This 542-nucleotide ribosomal RNA is filed under the name Haemophilus influenzae PittEE. Its description in RNAcentral is "bacterial LSU rRNA". It matches the Rfam family "Bacterial large subunit ribosomal RNA", at positions 1 to 580 of the family's 2925-position model. Lineage: Bacteria; Pseudomonadati; Pseudomonadota; Gammaproteobacteria; Pasteurellales; Pasteurellaceae. The record is from RNAcentral.